AUGGUGCACAGGAGGCGGCACAGGAAGUGGCAAGAGGGUAAGAGGCGAGGCUGAGGUCAGAGAUGGGGGAGAGCAGGAGAGCGCGAUGGAAAGGCAGGGCGCCUUCUGCACAGCUCCCCCUCCCACCCGGCUCGUCUCCCGGAGUCUCCGAGCGUCAGUCUCCCCUCCUGGCCCCCUACGGACUCUGCCUUUGCUCCCUUUCACUCCUAGGCCCCCCGGGCUCCUCCUUGACUCACUCUUUUCAUGAUUUACCUCUCAUUCCUCCCUCUUUUUUCUGCCUCCACCCUUACCCUUUUCCAUCCGCUCCUCACCCCCUCCCACGCCUCAUCUCCGUCCUUCUUCUCAGCUUUCCCUCUCACUACUCAUUCAGCGCCCCACACACACCCACUUCUGCCCUUUCCUGCCGUUCUGCCUCCGUUUCCACCUACCUGAGCCCUCUGCCCCCAAGCCCUCCCUCCCGUCCUCCCUCUCCGUCCCUCCGACAGCCCCGCCCAGCUGAAUGCAUCCGCCGUCUGCCAGAGAGGGCAGCUCUGGUAACCCAGAGCCAGCUGAUGCAGGCAGAAGGGUAUGAAUGCAGAGGCACACGCAAAAACAUACGUGCUCCGAAUUGCCGAGUUGCAGCAAAUAGUUUUUCCCCAGGAUGGGAUGGAGGCGAAGCAGAUGGAUCUGCCACACACCCUUAGCCUGCGCCAGGGAAAGGGAGAGCCACUGGGAGACGCACAGCACCCGCCCGGAGACAGUCCUUUCCAGACCCGAGGUCGCUACCGGCGUGUAGAAAUUGGGGGAGGGGAGAAAUAGAGACCCCAGGACGGGAAUGAUGGAGACCAAAUGGGAGCAAGAUGACCCACAAGAGACGCGCAUGGGUAGAGAUGGACCAGAGAGGAAGAUGCGGCGGGGGGAAGAGAGCGAGAGGAGACGGAGCAGGAUGACGUUAGCACAGCCGGGCCAGGACUGACGGGGCCGCCGGCCAAUCAGCCUCUUCCAUGCACAGGUCCCUGCUGCGUGCCCUAUGGGAACGGUGAAGUAAAACCCUCAGUCUGAGCCUGAGAAACCCUGGCGUUUGUAGCCCAGGUCUGCGAGGAAGCCACAGGGCGGUCCGCAGGGCGGUAGCGGGGCUCUGGGACCCGAGGAGGGGUAGGACGUCCUGCACACCUCGCGCGCGCACCUGUCGGAACGGGCCGCCUCUUCCUGCCUACCUGCCCUGCCUCCGUCGCCCCGAAUUUCACCUUAAACCAUGAUGAACCAAGCCCAGUGGAUUCUGAAGCCUGGGACGAUGGGAGGUUCGAGAGAGAAGUGGGCAGCUGGGGGCGGGGCGCACGAUUAUUGAGGCACCCCACCCCCCCACCCCCCCCCCCCCACACACACACACAGAAAUACAUCUGGGAAGCAUGGGUUGUCCUAAGGGCUUUGGACUGGGGAUUAUGGUCUCAUCGAUGACUCAGAAGGAGAGAAAACCCUCUGCGUCCCAAGCCAAAGAGAAUAAAAUUCUCCAGUAUAGCCAA
Callithrix jacchus (white-tufted-ear marmoset) is the source of this 1502-nucleotide non-coding RNA. Lineage: Eukaryota; Metazoa; Chordata; Mammalia; Primates; Cebidae. The record is from RefSeq and is a predicted model, not a curated record.